RNAcentral lists this ribosomal RNA (492 nucleotides) under uncultured bacterium. RNAcentral's name for it is "partial 16S ribosomal RNA". It matches the Rfam family "Bacterial small subunit ribosomal RNA", at positions 29 to 507 of the family's 1533-position model. The record is from RNAcentral.
AGUGAACGCUGGCGGUAGGCCUAACACAUGCAAGUCGAACGGCAGCACAGUAAGAGCUUGCUCUUACGGGUGGCGCGUGGCGGACGGGUGAGGAAUACAUCGGAAUCUACUUUUUCGUGGGGGAUAACGUAGGGAAACUUACGCUAAUACCGCAUACGACCUACGGGUGAAAGCAGGGGAUCUUCGGACCUUGCGCGAUUGAAUGAGCCGAUGUCGGAUUAGCUAGUUGGCGGGGUAAAGGCCCACCAAGGCGACGAUCCGUAGCUGGUCUGAGAGGAUGAUCAGCCACACUGGAACUGAGACACGGUCCAGACUCCUACGGGAGGCAGCAGUGGGGAAUAUUGGACAAAGGGCGCAAGCCUGAUCCAGCCAUACCGCGUGGGUGAAGAAGGCCUUCGGGUUGUAAAGCCCUUUUGUUGGGAAAGAAAGGCAGCAGGUUAAUACCCCGCUGUUCUGACGGUACCCAAAGAAUAAGCACCGGCUAACUUCGUG